This 403-nucleotide ribosomal RNA is filed under the name bacterium. RNAcentral describes it as "partial 16S ribosomal RNA". It matches the Rfam family "Bacterial small subunit ribosomal RNA", at positions 355 to 776 of the family's 1533-position model. The record is from RNAcentral.
UGGGGAAUAUUGCACAAUGGGGGAAACCCUGAUGCAGCGACGCCGCGUGAACGAAGAAGGUAUUCGUAUCGUAAAGUUCUGUCCUAUGGGAAGAUAAUGACAGUACCAUAGAAGAAAGCUCCGGCUAAAUACGUGCCAGCAGCCGCGGUAAUACGUAUGGAGCGAGCGUUGUCCGGAAUUAUUGGGCGUAAAGGGUACGCAGGCGGUUUAAUAAGUCGAAUGUUAAAGAUCGGGGCUCAACCCCGUAAAGCAUUGGAAACUGAUAAACUUGAUGAGUGGAGAGGAAGGUGGAAGUCCUAGUGUAGUGGUGAAAUACGUAGAUAUUAGGAGGAAGACCAGUAGCGAAGGAGACUUUCUGGACACAAACUGACGCUGAGGUACGAAAGCGUGGGGAGCAAACAGG